This 426-nucleotide ribosomal RNA is filed under the name uncultured bacterium. Its description in RNAcentral is "bacterial SSU rRNA". It matches the Rfam family "Bacterial small subunit ribosomal RNA", at positions 359 to 777 of the family's 1533-position model. The record is from RNAcentral.
GAAUCUUGGGCAAUGGGCGCAAGCCUGACCCAGCCAUGCCGCGUGUGUGAAGAAGGCCUUCGGGUUGUAAAGCACUUUCAGUGGUGAAGAAAAGCCUGGGGCUAAUAUCCCCGGGUCUUGACGUUAACCCCAGAAGAAGCACCGGCUAACUCCGUGCCAGCAGCCGCGGUAAUACGGAGGGUGCGAACGUUAAUCGGAAUUACUGGGCGUAAAGCGCGCGUAGGCGGUUCGACAAGUGGGAUGUGAAAGCCCUGGGCUUAACCUGGGAACUGCAUUCCAAACUAUCGGGCUAGAGUAUGGUAGAGGGAGGUGGAAUUUCCUGUGUAGCGGUGAAAUGCGUAGAUAUAGGAAGGAACACCAGUGGCGAAGGCGGCCUCCUGGACCAAUACUGACGCUGAGGUGCGAAAGCGUGGGGAGCAAACAGGA